This 1308-nucleotide long non-coding RNA is filed under the name Oryctolagus cuniculus (rabbit). RNAcentral's name for it is "lncRNA (ENSOCUG00000036211.1)". The record is from RNAcentral. Lineage: Eukaryota; Metazoa; Chordata; Mammalia; Lagomorpha; Leporidae.
CUUCAGGCCCUCCACUCGGGUCCUGCUGUUCUCGUGGACCCUGCAGUCCCAGGCCUGCCCCUUCUCUGGGCCAGUCCCGUGGCCCUCACAGACAGAGCCUGGAGGGCCCCACGCUGCCCCCCGAGUGCCCUGGGAGUUGGGCAGCCAUCAGUGCCUCCCCGAGCUGCCGGGUCACCAUCCGGGGGACUGAGAUCUGGCCCCAGUCCUACCCAAACACAAACCUUUGCAUACCCCACCCAGGGCCUACAGCCACACUGCAGGGCACCCCUGCACCCUGCUGCCUGGUCCAGCCAACUCACCUCAGAAGCCAAGCCUCUUUGCUUCCCCUGGGGCCUACUCUCUGCCCACCUCUCUCUGGAGGACGCCCCCAGCCCCAAGGCCCCGUGGGCCCUCACCUCCCUCAGGAUCUCAGCAGUCCCUCUUCAAGCCCAGGCCAGCCCAGGCCCUGGCUCUCUGGGGUCUUGUGCCCUCUGCUCCCACCAGCCCUACUGGAACCAGCCUCUCUGCCACUCUGUCUCUCAUCCUGUCACCACCUCUACCUCCACCUCUCUCCUCACAGACCCUAGGCCCCCUCCUCUCUCACCUCUGCUUGCCACCCCCAUUUAUCUCUGUCUCCUAGUACUCUCAGUCACUCUCCUGUCAGCCAUCUCUGGACCUGUCACCUUCUCCCCCCAUCACCUCUCCUUGUCACCCCCUCCAACUCUGUCCCCUCCCUCUCCCUGUCACCCUUAUCUAGUCCUGUCACCCCUCCACUCCUGUUACCUGUCCUCUGCCCACCACCCCGUCCCCCAGUCACCUUUGCCAUCACCCUCCCCCCUCCACUUCCUCCACUCCUUCUCCCCUUCCCACCAUUCCGCUCACCCCUUUCCCCCUGUCCCUCCUCCCAGUCCCUGCCACCUGUCCCCCCUCGGCCCCCAGCCCCCCUCAACCCCCUGCUGUGUCAGCCCUGGCCCCGCCCCUCACCUCGGGCUCAGCGGGGUUUCGGGGCCGGGGGCCCUGGCCCCGGCUCGGUCCGGUCCGGUCCCUCCCCGCCCCCCCUCCGGCUCUCCCUCUCGAUUCUCCCUUUUUUUUUUACUCCAACCACACAAAAAUGGUGAAUGGACCUGCAACAGCUGGAGUAACCAGCCAAUCAGCGGCCACAACCCCGCUGACCGGCGCCAGCCUAGGCCAAUAGAUUUUCGCAACCUGACUGACUCCGCCUCUCGGCGACGAGCGACGUUCACAGCAACCAAUCGCGCCCAACGGGCAGCGCUAGGGGGAGGGGCCAAAAUCAAAGACCAGCCUCCCUCCGGACCGACACCAACCUGA